UUGAAGGUAGCGAAGGGGCCAGGCUGGGGGCCAAGCCUGGACCCAGCACACAAAUAUCAUCUUAUUGCUGGAGAAAAAUCCCCAUCGCUCACUUUGAUGAACUCCUGCUGCUAAACGUUUGUAGCAUUUAACAGUGGCGAACUUCCUCCAUCCUGUUCCGACUAAACAUCUCCUUUAAUAUUGAUUUUGAUACUGUCUGUGGAAAUUUACUCAACAGUUACUAUGAAGAACCAAAAAACAAGAUGGUAGGCAAGCAGACAACUCAACACUGCACGUCUCCAGACUCCCAGCAAAAAGAUGAACAUCACCGGUGAACGCAAUUCAACAGACAUGCCAAUCUACUGUGGCCAGCACCGAGUGCCACAGAGAUUGGUAUGGCCAAAGAACCUUGAAAGCCACCAUAGUGUCCAUCCUUUCAACCUGAAGAAGACCAUUUUCGGUGUAAGGUUUUGACCAAGGAGGAAUCGGGUAACUCAGCAUUAAUGGUAUAAUGGUGUACCUUUGGCAUUUUUGCCACGUACAUCAGUUAUUCACCAUCUACAUAUGUACACUUUUAGGAAAGGUAGCAUCCUGUUUUAAAGAUGAAUCCAUCAUCAGCACUCUUUGUCUGGCAAUGAAGUCUGGUCAUUAUGAUGAAAACUGAAAUCUUUGAGAGAGAGUAGCCCCAUUCUUAGACUAGUGGCCUGUGCGAAAAAAAAAAGCCUUUAGCUGUAAGUUUUACAUUAUUGAGACUACAAGCUGUAGAAAUAGACUUGCUCCCCUCCUCUUUUUCCCUGAAGUGCAGUUUUGAAUGUAAGAGCUUUUGUGUAGCCACAUUUCUGUGACCCAGAAAGCAGCUAUCAAGUUUUACAGCAUUAAAAAAAAAAAAAAAGCUAUUAGGAGUAAUAAUUAUAGUAUUAUGGACAGGCAUGUGUAAAGCUAACUAACAUUCCAUUUGCAUGGCUUAUGCUGAUGUGAAAUUAUGGAUUUUAUUACAUAGUAGUAGUAGUAGUAGUAUGCAGCUAUGUUUGGUUUUGGGCCAUGGAGAUAAAGCUCUUUUUUGGACAUAGAUGGCAAGCUUUGGAGGGAGUUGUACAGACAGGGAAUUAGAGAGAGGAGUAAUAUUUCACUACCUCAGAGAGAUGGGCACAGUCAUCACAGCACAGCCCCUCACCGAGCGAACAAGUCAUGAGAAGCAGUAUUCAGGUGUUUUUUCUACCAUUUUCAACUAACAGAUUGUCAGUCUUCAUUGUCAAACAGUUGGGAAACGUGUGUGUGAGAGAGUGCGUCUGUGUCAAGUAUAUGUGGUUCUUAUUAAUCUUAGUAAUAGUUUAAAAAAGUCUCUCAGAGGGUCUAAAUAUUUUAAGUGCUUAUGGGUUUUUUUGUUUGUUUGUUUGUUUGUUUUUCUUUUGUAGAGGGGUUUUGGAACAUUUUUAAUGUCACAUCUUACAGUCGACUGAUAACGUAUCUAAUGUCCAUUGUACCUGAUACACAAGUAAGUCUUUUUGCCUAACCCAUGGUUUCAUGCCUGGCUGGCACUGUGACAAAAACAAGAGUGCUUUUAGGAGCUGCUUGUAAAAGGACAGACCAUUUCAUUCAUUUUUGACAUGUGCAAGAUAUCCAUGCGUUAUCGGCAAAGAGUGAUAUUGACACAAGGAAGAGUAGAGAUUAUGAUCAAGGCAAACUGAGAAGAUUAGUUGUUUAUACUGCCCCCUAUUUGGUGUUUCAAGAGUAUUCCAAGUAAAACAGGUCAUAGGAGCAGAUUACCUAGUUUAUCCUUCAUAUGGGCUUUGUGCAAUAUGUCCCCCCGCCCCUCCCCACCCCCCUCUUCUUUGUCCUGUUUUGAUAUAAAUAUGUAUAUUGUAUAAAAAAGUGAGAAGUUGUUCCGAAAAAAACAACAAAAUCACCAAUGUCUUCCAUUAAAAGAUGUAUAGUCUCAUGUGCUUAUUUGCUGUAGCGGGAUCCUAGUGCCAUCGUGGCCAUGCAUGAAAGGUAGUGAUAAUUGCUUGCUCAGUAAAAUAGAUGUAGUUACAUACAGUAUAUGCUUUUUAAAAUUGUUUAAAGUAGAAGCAGUUAGAGUAGGGAAGUUAUUAGUUACAGAAUAUUACUUAGAUCAUGGAUGCAUCAUUCUUUCCUAGUUUAGUCUUGAGGAUUUUGGUAUCUGGGUACGGUCCCAAACUAAUGUAGAGGAGUUUCUUCAUGGGAAACUCCAUGUUCUGUUGGCAUCCAUUUCUUGCUUUUGUUUUUAGAAAAUGAAAGGUAUGUCUUAAAUUAGCCCCUCAUCUUCUAGUGGUUUUGUGUUUCGCCAUCAGACAGACUAUGGUGGGUUUUUUUUUUUUUUAAUGCAGUUCAGAGAGUGAAAAUGC
This is a long non-coding RNA of Chanos chanos (milkfish), 2345 nucleotides long. RefSeq lists it as uncharacterized. The transcript is spliced from 3 exons. Lineage: Eukaryota; Metazoa; Chordata; Actinopteri; Gonorynchiformes; Chanidae. The record is from RefSeq and is a predicted model, not a curated record.